Molecule: unclassified non-coding RNA, 401 nt
Filed under: soil metagenome
Description: partial contains 5.8S ribosomal RNA, internal transcribed spacer 2, and large subunit ribosomal RNA
Rfam family: 5.8S ribosomal RNA (bases 1-121)
Source: RNAcentral
GAUGAAGAACGCAGCGAAAUGCGAUAAGUAAUGUGAAUUGCAGAAUUCAGUGAAUCAUCGAAUCUUUGAACGCACCUUGCGCCCCUUGGUUAUUCCAAAGGGCAUGCCUGUUUGAGUAUCAUGAACACCUCAACUCUUGUGGUUUCCCACAAUGAGCUUGGACUGUGGAGGUUUUGUUGGCCCUGUGGUCAGCUCCUCUCAAAUGGAUCAGCUUACCGGUGUUUGGUGGCAUUACGGGUGUGAUAACUAUCUACGCUCGUGGUCGUCUCCAAAUAACCUCCAGUGAUGGAGGUUCGCUGGAGCUUACAAAUGUCUCUCCCCAGUGAAGACAGCCUUUGAACGUUCGAUCUCAAAUCAGGUAGGACUACCCGCUGAACUUAAGCAUAUCAAUAAGCGGAGGA